UGAGCCUACGGGAGGCAGCAGUGAGGAAUAUUGGUCAAUGGGCGGUAGCCUGAACCAGCCAAGUAGCGUGAAGGAUGAAGGUUCUAUGGAUUGUAAACUUCUUUUAUAAAGGAAUAAAGUGAGGCACGUGUGCCUUUUUGUAUGUACUUUAUGAAUAAGGAUCGGCUAACUCCGUGCCAGCAGCCGCGGUAAUACGGAGGAUCCGAGCGUUAUCCGGAUUUAUCGGGUUUAAAGGGAGCGUAGGCGGACGGUCAAGUCAGCGGUAAAAAUGCGG
RNAcentral lists this ribosomal RNA (274 nucleotides) under uncultured bacterium. Its description in RNAcentral is "partial 16S ribosomal RNA". It matches the Rfam family "Bacterial small subunit ribosomal RNA", at positions 334 to 605 of the family's 1533-position model. The record is from RNAcentral.